CUUGACAACAUUAAUAGCCAACA
RNAcentral lists this non-coding RNA (23 nucleotides) under Arabidopsis thaliana (thale cress). Lineage: Eukaryota; Viridiplantae; Streptophyta; Magnoliopsida; Brassicales; Brassicaceae. The record is from RNAcentral.